CCUACGGGAGGCAGCAGUGGGGAAUAUUGGGCAAUGGGCGCAAGCCUGACCCAGCCAUGCCGCGUGAGGGAAGAAGGCUUUCGGGUUGUAAACUUCUUUGACAGGGGAAGAGCAGAAGACGGUACCCUGAAAACAAGCCACGGCUAACUACGUGCCAGCAGCCGCGGUAAUACGGAGGUGGCAAGCGUUGUCCGGAUUUACUGGGUGUAAAGGGCGUGUAGCCGGGAAGGCAAGUCAGAGGUGAAAUCUGGAGGCUCAACCUCCAAAUUGCAUUUGAAACUGUUUGUCUUGAGUAAGGGAGAGGAAGACGGAAUGCCUGGUGUAGCGGUGAAAUGCGUAGAUAUAAGGAGGAACACCAGUGGCGAAGGCGGUCUGCUGGACAGCAACUGACGGUGAGGCGCGAAAGCGUGGGGAGCAAACAGGAUUAGAUACCCCAGUAGUC
Molecule: ribosomal RNA, 442 nt
Filed under: uncultured bacterium
Lineage: Bacteria
Description: partial 16S ribosomal RNA
Rfam family: Bacterial small subunit ribosomal RNA
Source: RNAcentral